AGUGAACGCUGGCGGUAGGCCUAACACAUGCAAGUCGAACGGCAGCACAGUAAGAGCUUGCUCUUACGGGUGGCGAGUGGCGGACGGGUGAGGAAUACAUCGGAAUCUACUUUUUCGUGGGGGAUAACGUAGGGAAACUUACGCUAAUACCGCAUACGACCUACGGGUGAAAGCAGGGGAUCUUCGGACCUUGCGCGAUUGAAUGAGCCGAUGUCGGAUUAGCUAGUUGGCGGGGUAAAGGCCCACCAAGGCGACGAUCCGUAGCUGGUCUGAGAGGAGGAUCGGCCACACUGGAACUGAGACACGGUCCAGACGCCUACGAGAGGCAGCAGAGGGGAAUAUUGGACAAUGGGCGCAAGCCUGAUCCAGCCAUACCGCGUGGGUGAAGAAGGCCUUCGGGUUGUAAAGCCCUUUUGUUGGGAAAGAAAAGCAGCAGGUUAAUACCCCGCUGUUCUGACGGUACCCAAAGAAUAAGCACCGGCUAACUUCGUG
RNAcentral lists this ribosomal RNA (492 nucleotides) under uncultured bacterium. RNAcentral describes it as "partial 16S ribosomal RNA". It matches the Rfam family "Bacterial small subunit ribosomal RNA", at positions 29 to 507 of the family's 1533-position model. The record is from RNAcentral.